AGGAUUCCCCUAGUAACUGCGAGUGAAGCGGGAAAAGCUCAAAUUUAAAAUCUGGUGGUCUUUGGCCAUCCGAGUUGUAAUCUAGAGAAGUGUUACCCGCGUCGGACCGUGUACAAGUCUCCUGGAAUGGAGCGUCAUAGAGGGUGAGAAUCCCGUCUUUGACACGGACUACCGAGGCUUUGUGGUGCGCUCUCAAAGAGUCGAGUUGUUUGGGAAUGCAGCUCAAAAUGGGUGGUAAAUUCCAUCUAAAGCUAAAUAUUGGCGAGAGACCGAUAGCGAACAAGUACCGUGAGGGAAAGAUGAAAAGAACUUUGGAAAGAGAGUUAAACAGUACGUGAAAUUGCUGAAAGGGAAACGCUUGAAGUCAGUCGCGUUGGCCGGAAAUCAGCCUUGCUUUUGCAUGGUGUACUUUCUGGUUGACGGGCCAGCAUCAGUUUUGACCGGUGGAAAAAGUCUAGAGGAAGGUGGCAUCUUCGGAUGUGUUAUAGCCUCUGGUCGUAUACAUCGGUUGGGACUGAGGAACUCAGCACGCCGAAAGGCCGGGUCUUUGACCACGUUCGUGCUUAGGAUGCUGGCAUAAUGGCUUUAAUCGACCCGUCUUGAAACACGGACCAAGGAGUCUAACAUGCCUGCGAGUGUUUGGGUGAAAAACCCGAGCGCGUAAUGAAAGUGAAAGUUGAGAUCCCUGUCAUGGGGAGCAUCGACGCCCGGACCAGAAGUUUUCUGACGGCCCUGCGGUAGAGCAUGUAUGUUGGGACCCGAAAGAUGGUGAACUAUGCCUGAAUAGGGUGAAGCCAGAGGAAACUCUGGUGGAGGCUCGUAGCGAUUCUGACGUGCAAAUCGAUCGUCAAAUUUGGGUAUAGGGGCGAAAGACUAAUCGAACCAUCUAGUAGCUGGUCCUG
RNAcentral lists this ribosomal RNA (902 nucleotides) under Psathyrella tephrophylla. RNAcentral describes it as "partial large subunit ribosomal RNA". It matches the Rfam family "Eukaryotic large subunit ribosomal RNA", at positions 71 to 959 of the family's 3401-position model. The record is from RNAcentral. Lineage: Eukaryota; Fungi; Basidiomycota; Agaricomycetes; Agaricales; Psathyrellaceae.